AAAAUGCAGGCUUUCGUGUUACAAAAAAAACACUACUGCUUACGAGCAUUUGCUGAAAGAAAAUCAGUGUUUAACUAUUCGUAAUCCUUCUCUUGGAGAAAACCGUCAGAAAGUGAAAUACGUUCAUAGUUCGUUCAAGAUAAAUCUAAAUGAGAACACCAUUGUCGAGCAAUCUGCCGAACCUGUUGGUGCUGAAUGGGGAUUUGAUUUUUCUCCAUUUGAGUCAGUUGUUGAAGACCCUGAUAAUGACGGCAAGUCAUUCAAAAGCCCUAUUGACGUUAUCGGUUUUGUGGUGAAGUGUCUUCCGUCAGAGGAGAAGACUGAAAAUAAUAACGGGAAAGAUGAGAAGAAGGCUACCUUUAUUCUGGAGGAUUUGCAACACCAGCAGAUUUACGUUACUCUGUGGGGGGUUUAUGCUGAUCAGAUUAUUGAAUUUCAAAGAGAACAUAAGGAUGAAAAAAAUGUUGUUGUGGUUGUUCAGUUUGGCAAGUACCGUUUUUGGGGAGGAAAUUUGUUCGUAUCCAAUUUGUAUACUGUAACUCGAGUGUUCAUAAACACUGAAAUUCCCGAGAUUUUGGAAUUUAAAAGAAG
This is a long non-coding RNA of Helianthus annuus (common sunflower), 591 nucleotides long. RefSeq lists it as uncharacterized. Lineage: Eukaryota; Viridiplantae; Streptophyta; Magnoliopsida; Asterales; Asteraceae. The transcript has 4 exons. The record is from RefSeq and is a predicted model, not a curated record.